RNAcentral lists this ribosomal RNA (542 nucleotides) under uncultured bacterium. RNAcentral's name for it is "bacterial SSU rRNA". It matches the Rfam family "Bacterial small subunit ribosomal RNA", at positions 356 to 896 of the family's 1533-position model. The record is from RNAcentral.
GAGGAAUAUUGGUCAAUGGGCGAGAGCCUGAACCAGCCAAGUAGCGUGCAGGAAGACGGCCCUAUGGGUUGUAAACUGCUUUUAUGUGGGGAUAAAGUGAGCUACGUGUAGUUUAUUGCAGGUACCACAUGAAUAAGGACCGGCUAAUUCCGUGCCAGCAGCCGCGGUAAUACGGAAGGUCCAGGCGUUAUCCGGAUUUAUUGGGUUUAAAGGGAGCGUAGGCCGUGGAUUAAGCGUGUUGUGAAAUGUAGACGCUCAACGUCUGACUUGCAGCGCAUACUGGUUUCCUUGAGUACGCACAACGUUGGCGGAAUUCGUCGUGUAGCGGUGAAAUGCUUAGAUAUGACGAAGAACUCCGAUUGCGAAGGCAGCUGACGGGAGCGCAACUGACGCUGAAGCUCGAAGGUGCGGGUAUCGAACAGGAUUAGAUACCCUGGUAGUCCGCACAGUAAACGAUGGAUGCCCGUUGUUAGUUCACUUAAGAAUUAGCGACCAAGCGAAAGCAUUAAGCAUCCCACCUGGGGAGUACGCCGGCAACGGUG